GACGAACGCUGGCGGCGUGCCUAAUACAUGCAAGUAGAACGCACAGUUUAUACCGUAGCUUGCUACACCAUAGACUGUGAGUUGCGAACGGGUGAGUAACGCGUAGGUAACCUGCCUGGUAGCGGGGGAUAACUAUUGGAAACGAUAGCUAAUAUCGCAUAAUAUUAAUUAUUGCAUGAUAAUUAAUUGAAAGGUGCAAUUGCACCACUACCAGAUGGACCUGCGUUGUAUUAGCUAGUAGGUGAGGUAACGGCUCACCUAAGCGACGAUACAUAGCCGACCAUGGAGGGGGAUCGGCCAACCUGGGACUGGGACAAGGCCCAGGCUCCUACGGGAGGCAGCAGUAGGGAAUCUUCGGCAAUGGACGAAAGUCUGACCGAGCAACGCCGCGUGAGUGAAGAAGGUUUUCGGAUCGUAAAGCUCUGUUGUAAGAGAAGAACGGGUGUGGGAGUGGAAAGUUCACACUGUGACGGUAUCUUACCAGAAAGGGACGGCUAACUACGUG
This 505-nucleotide ribosomal RNA is filed under the name uncultured bacterium. Its description in RNAcentral is "partial 16S ribosomal RNA". It matches the Rfam family "Bacterial small subunit ribosomal RNA", at positions 28 to 507 of the family's 1533-position model. The record is from RNAcentral.